Long non-coding RNA from Zalophus californianus (California sea lion), 1357 nucleotides. RefSeq lists it as uncharacterized. The record is from RefSeq and is a predicted model, not a curated record. The transcript is spliced from 3 exons. Lineage: Eukaryota; Metazoa; Chordata; Mammalia; Carnivora; Otariidae.
GACCCCCUUAUGCAGGGACCUGAGAGUCUGGCCCCCUGGCUCGGGACGGCCCUGGCCACCCCCGCCUGUCCUCUCCCCACACCUCCCCUUCAGGUUCCUACCACCCAGACCUCUGUGGGCCGUCAGCUCUCCCGGCCUGGGCUCCGGGACGUCCCCCACUCCCACAACCGGCUUCCUCCAGCCACUCCGGCAGCCAGACCUCACACAGCCUUGCCCGUGUGCGCCUGCACACCAGCUCUGGCGGACCCUCCUUGGCUCCCCACCCAGACCUCCCCCCUCACGGAGCUACCUGGAUCGGAGGUGCGUCAGGACCGCGGCAGGUAGCCUGCCCGGCUGCUGCCAUGUCCGCCAUCCGCUUCUCCAUCUGCUCUAGCCGCUCCAGAAUGGACAUUCGGAACUGGUUGUCUGAGGGGGAAGAGAACGCACAGGCACGCGUGCACACGCCAGGCUCCGUCUGGGCCCUCCUGAGAUCACACGAGGACAAGGAGGGGAGGCAGGAGGGGACUGGAGCCACCGGAAAACAGGCAUGAAGCAGGGCAGAGGUCGUGGAUGUCCCGCCUGAGAUGCCAGGGCGGAAGGGGCUCAGGGCCUAGAGGGGACGGUGGGGGGGAGGGCGGACCCCGAGCAGAAGGGUCGACAAGGUGAAGGAGAGGAGGGGCAGGACCGCGGGGAGAUGAGCCAAGCAAGCAGCACAGAAGGGAAGGAGGCACAGUGCAACCAGGAAGCAGGGGGAGGGAGGAGCCCCCGCCUCCAGAUAGCAGGGCUUUGGGAGGGGGCCCCCCAGGGGUGACACAGCAGGGGCAUGACGGAGGGAGGGAGGGAUGGAGGUGAGCUCAGCAGGGGCAGCAGCGCAGCGGGGAGAAACCCGGAGGAGGAGACCCCGAGCUGGACGCGGGGGGCCGUGGGGACACCGCACUGGGAGGCACGGGGAGGAGAACCAGGGAAGGAACACACACAGUUCUCGAUUUAAGCACACGUACGUGUGCGCGCGCGCCUGCUUGUAUAGGAAAAUGUACUAAAGCGUAUUAAAGAUGAGUGUCACCGGGGGGUGAUAUGGUCAAUUUUCUACUUUACGCUUCUCUGUUAUUUGCCAAAUUUCUCACGGCAAACGCCUGUCCUCAAAAGUAGAGGGAAAAACAGCAAGGAAAUUGCAAUACGCACAUCAGUACACACGUGUGCGUGUGCGCACCACGCACACCCAUGUACACCGCACGUACACUGCUCCUGGCCCCGCCUGCCUACGGCCCGUCUGUGGGACAGAGGACAGGCCAAGGGCUGGGGCAGAGAUGGCUCCAAGGUCUCCGGGGGCGAGAACAGGAGGGACAGUCGCUGCCGCCUUUAGAACUGACCCAUGACG